GACGAACGCUGGCGGCGUGCUUAACACAUGCAAGUCGAACGGUGAAAGAAGAGAUUGCUAUUCUGGAUCAGUGGCGAACGUGUGAGUAACACGAGAGUAACCUGCCCCAGACUAUGAAAUAAGCGCUGGAAACGGCGUCUAAUACCGGAUACGAGACAGAGCUGCAUGGCUACAUUCUGGAAAGAUUUUCGGUCUGGGAAGGACUCGCGGCCUAUCAGCUUGUUGGUGAGGUAAUGGCUCACCAAGGCAACGACGGGUAGCCGGCCUGAGAGGGGGACCGGCCACACUGGGACUGAGACACGGCACAGACUCCUACGGGAGGCAGCAGUGGAGAAUGUUGCACAAUGGGCGAAAGCCAGAUGCAGCGACGCCGCGUGGGGGAUGACGGCCUUCGAGUUGUAAACCUCUGUCAGCAGGGAAGAAGCGAAAGUGACGGUACCUGAAGAGGAAGCCCCGGCUAACUACGUG
Molecule: ribosomal RNA, 468 nt
Filed under: uncultured bacterium
Lineage: Bacteria
Description: partial 16S ribosomal RNA
Rfam family: Bacterial small subunit ribosomal RNA
Source: RNAcentral